Osmia lignaria (orchard mason bee) is the source of this 507-nucleotide non-coding RNA. NCBI's taxonomy places the organism in Eukaryota, Metazoa, Arthropoda, Insecta, Hymenoptera, Megachilidae. The record is from RefSeq and is a predicted model, not a curated record.
GACCGCUCCCAUACUAAUGGAAGUUUUUCGCGCAACAACCGCCUAUGGAAAUCGAUCCUUCAAAUUUAUUAAUCAUUCAUUACAAUAGGUAGAACUGAGGGACAACGUGAGUACUGCUCAUUAACAAAUCAUUCGUAAAUGAAAGGAGAAAAUCGUCUUUGCACUCUGAUGUAGGCAAACUGUAAGGCAUCUCUAUCACGGGAAGCGUAAAUCUGGCAAACGGGGAACCGCAAAAGAAGAGAUUCCUGAAUAUCGCUGGUCAUACUGGAUGUCACCUGAAAGCCAUUCGACAGUUGAUGGUAAAAUAUGCAACACUUCAAUGGCUGAUGUUUCACCAGAAAUGGACAUAUCGCGUGCGUCGGAAACGUUUGCGAUUACCAGCAAUUCGCGGCAGUUUACUUGAUUCAACUUGGUGCCUAAUAUAUCUAGCCUGGCAGCGAUGAAACAGAAAAGGAUAACAAUCAUUACGUUGAUUACGAAGAUGAGUGCUGCCUGCAAAAUGCAGUA